UGGGGAAUUUUGCGCAAUGGGGGAAACCCUGACGCAGCAACGCCGCGUGAGUGAUGAAGGCCUUCGGGUCGUAAAGCUCUGUCAGAGGGAAAGAAGUGUAUUGUGGCUAAUAUCCAUGAUACUUGACGGUACCCUCAAAGGAAGCACCGGCUAACUCCGUGCCAGCAGCCGCGGUAAUACGGAGGGUGCGAGCGUUGUUCGGAAUUAUUGGGCGUAAAGCGCGUGUAGGCGGUUUGGUAAGUCUGAUGUGAAAGCCCCGGGCUCAACCUGGGAAGUGCAUUGGAAACUGUCAGACUUGAAUACGGGAGAGGGUAGUGGAAUUCCUAGUGUAGGAGUGAAAUCCGUAGAUAUUAGGAGGAACACCGGUGGCGAAGGCGGCUACCUGGACCGAUAUUGACGCUGAGACGCGAAAGCGUGGGGAGCAAACAGG
This 430-nucleotide ribosomal RNA is filed under the name uncultured bacterium. RNAcentral describes it as "bacterial SSU rRNA". It matches the Rfam family "Bacterial small subunit ribosomal RNA", at positions 355 to 776 of the family's 1533-position model. The record is from RNAcentral.